Small nuclear RNA from Bison bison bison, 63 nucleotides. Its record names the gene U7. It matches the Rfam family "U7 small nuclear RNA". Rfam says of the family: Animal histone pre-mRNAs are spliced by a different mechanism than nuclear pre-mRNAs and self-splicing introns. NCBI's taxonomy places the organism in Eukaryota, Metazoa, Chordata, Mammalia, Artiodactyla, Bovidae. The record is from Ensembl.
UAGUGUUAUGGCUCUUUUAGAAUUUUUCUAGCAGGAUUUCCAAUCUGUACUGGAAAAUCCUCC